CUUGACUCUGCUCUUUAGUUAAUGGUCAUUCAUCUGACUCAGGCCACCCAUUGAAUAUCAAAAAGGCGGAAAGGGGGAUUUCUUUGAUAAGCAAGGAACGACUCUACAAGGGCUUGAUUCUCUCUUGACAAUAUUUGGUGAUCUGGCCCAAUAAGCUUCCCGCCGAAACGAACUCCAUCUUCAUUGCACUCACUGAAAAGAAGAAAAAGAAGAGGUGCUGAAAGCCGAUCCACAUUUCCACUUAUUUUGGAUUGAGCUACACGAAGGAAGGAAGUUCUCAGUAGUUCUUAUGCUUCCUGGAGAUAUUCCCCUGCUUGUGCUUCAGAAAAAGAACAGGUUGAAGUCCUUCGAGUUAGAGUUAGAAGAGAAGCGGGGCAGAUUCCAUCCACUUUUCCCUGAGAGAAUGGAACUGAAAGAUUGUUUUAUAGGAAACACGGAUAUGCUGUGCUAAGCUCGGUCUUACGUAACUUAUGGACUCGCAUAUUAUGCUCCUCCGCAGUGAAGCCCUAACUAACCCCAAUAAGCUAAUGCCAGUUGAAGCAGCUAUUUCCUAUGUUGUCUUUGCUGUAUGGAAAGGAAAGAAUAUCUAGAUAGAAAGAGAAGCGCACUACACUCCUAAGUUCAAGUCAAAGAACAGUAUAAUAAUCAUAAUCAGAAUUCUAAGAGACUCAAUGCUCGGGGAAUAGUAUAAUAAUCAUAAUAAUACUAAUAAUAGACUAAAUGCUCAACUGCUGAAGCGCGAACUCCAAUGAAUUCUCUUAUGCUGCUCUGAAGUCCACUUCUUGUCCGUUGCUGGAACUCAACUACUUGUCUGUUCCCUUGCUUUCGUACUUUACUAAUUGCCCCUCCCCUGCCAGUUUCAAAUGCAAAUACGGAGCUUCUUUCUCUAAUUCUCAUUGACUUCACAAAAGGAAAAGAAUCCAGAAUUGCCUCUACUUUGACUCGGUGCAAGCGGUGCAAAACUCAGUGCUGAGCAAGACUCAGUGCUUCAGUGAAAUUCAAAUCAAUCCCUCGGGGCGCAAAGAUGGUUUUUCAUUACUUGUUGAGUCAAGUCAAACAGGAAUCUCUCGAGUACCUUUAUACUAUUAUGUGAAGUCAAACCCUAAACAAUAACUUCUGAUGCAUCGGAUUCUCUUUCUUCGGCUUUAGAUCCUGCUCUACUAUCUGUAUCCAUCCUGCUCUACUAUCUGUAUCUUUAGGCUAAUACUCUUGGCUUGAGUUUCCGUUCCCUAAAAGCGGGGCGGGGUUUCCGUGUUUUUAUUCAAAUAUCUUAUAGGAUGGCGAUAUUCUUUAGAGCCAGAGAACAUGUAAGCAGGUAGAGCAAAGCCAGCAGUAAACAGUUGGUAAGCAGUGUGCCCCAAGGCAGAAUGGAGGAAGCUGUGAGGAAGCAGAGCAAGCACAACAGCCAAAAGAAUGGAGUACAAAUGUCUAGAGUAAGGCCCACUGAGCGCAGCGCAAAGUUAAUAAGUCGUCUAUCAGAGGUAAGUAAUAAGAAUGGAGUACAAAUGUCUAGAGUAAGGCCCACUGAGGCUGAAGUUAAUAAGUCUCGUACACAAAGGUAAGGGUUCCUCAAUUCUUGUUGCACUCAAUGCCAUUCUUCCUGCUGUUUGGUUUAAGUCCGUGGGGUAAUAGAAUAGCUUGACCCUCAUUUAAAGAAAAGAAGGUUUACCCAUAUUUGAUUGAAACGACUCGAAUAGCUUAUGUACACCGCGCUUAAUAAGUUAGGGCAAAUACGGCUUGAACUGAAUCUUUCUAUUAAGUAGAAGGCCUUGACACCUCUUUCAAAAAACCACCUCCUUUUGUUUUGCCCCGAUUCACUCCAGCUAGAAGAUACUGCUCUAUUAUGUGGGCAUGAGAUUAUAGAUUCGCGCUUAUGCAGAGGAUUCCACCUGUUUUCGUAGAGCUAAAGUGAGUUCUUUACCUAUUUGAAGUAAUGGAACUGCUUAUCCAGUCAUCACCGCUUACGCUCUCCGGGUUCCUAUGGUAAUCUUUCUUUCUUUCUUUUUAAGAACUACCUAAAAUAGACUUGCUCUUGGCAACGAAGUGAGACAAUGACCAAUUUACCCAAGAUAGGAUUCGUACACUGUGAAGCUACCUCAGGAAGCUACCUUACGACCGAGGUUUAUAUGGGCUUAAGAGAAGCUAUGGGGCAAUUCCAAUUAUCACCAGUGUAAGUUCCAGCUUUAUCCGUCUGAGAGGUGCGUGCUUAUACUAGAUUCUAAUUCAAUACGUGAACAGGAAGGCAGCUUAAGGUGUAGAGAGGAUUCCCAGAAGGCAGCUUAAGGUGUAGAGAGGAUUCCCGGGUUUUAUCAGUGAGUGAGAGAAGCGAAACAUAUACUCUAUAUAAGUUAGUAAACAUCAUUAUUCCAUUCCGUUAACUUCAUUAAGCGCUUUCACUCUAUUGUCUCUUGCUUGCAUCGCUGAAAAGAAUGGAAAUGGAACUCACUUUAGCACUGGGAAUUGAGGAAAGCAGCUCAUCUAACUGGCAGGAAUUGAGAAGUGAACGAACCAGGAAAAGAUCUUAGCGCAGAAGCAUCUGAUCUUAGCGCAAAAGCUUUCUAAGGAGUAGGGACAGGUGAGAAAGUAGAAGCCAUAUCCGGAUCCGGAACAGGAGAAACAGUAGUUUGAGAAGAAUCCGUGAAGGUAAGCUAUGUCUUUACUUGGCUUGGAUCUAUUAAGCGAAGAUCUUUCGAAUCGAAAUCAGAAUCUUAUGCAUUAGAAAGAGUAGAAGGAUAAGGAUAGGGGAAAGAACAGAGCCAGCUGUAAGCAGUAUGAGGGGAACAAAACAAGUAAACAAAAGGACAGAGGCAGAGGGUUCCGCGAGUGUAAUCAUUGAGAUUGAGAGAGGGUUGACAGCUAGUGUUAAGCAAUGCUAGUUUAGAUGGAAUGCUCUUGUUGUUGGCGAAAGAUCUGAACUCGUUAAGUCUAGGAAAGUUGCUCCAGUGCGUGCGGUAUCAAGUAUUGUUCCCCGAACUAAGGAGUAGAAGAUAGGCCCUAACAGUAUUAGUAGUCUGAGUGUCGGUAGGCAAUAAAGUAAUAAAGAGAGGUCGGGCCCUUACCUUAUUGUAAGUUCAGGCGCUAAGCAAGACAAGAGAAAGAGACGAGAGAAAGAUGUUGUUCAAGCGAGAAGAAGCAUCUGCUUUAUAAGGAUCAUAAUUAGGGGGUGAGCUCGGUGUUGUCGGUGGAAAGAGAACUGUAGUGCCGAACACAAAACCGGACUUUCAAUCUUGAAUAAUGGGGGCGCCAUCCCUUGUUGACAGAGGAGAGCCUGUAGUGGGCGAUAUUGUAGUUUCAAUCUGACUUAUGAGUUUCGAACGGAGGGUAGGCGAUAAGGGGAGCCUUAGGUUAGCAAGAAAGAGGUGGGGGAGCCUCAUUCAGAUAUCAAAGAAAGUAUCAAACUCAUUGAGAAUUGUUUGGCUCACCUGCACAGGAUUCAAAGAUCGGAAUAAAGUACUUGUUUUGAGGCGAGGUCGGCAAGGAAAGAAACUCAAUCAGAAGGAGCUAGAGCACCAACCCGAUCCUUUACUGAAGUACUUAUAGCUUAGCUUCCUUUCCUGACUUUUCAUCAUCUACUGAUGUAUCUGCUCUAACUGCUUCCUUUGGCACUGGUGAUUCUCUUUAGAAACGGACUUAUACUUACUUGCCUAGUAGCUACUUAUAUUACUUGUUGCUAUAGAGCGGUUAAAAGAUCUGACUUUGUUUCAAUUGAAAGAGCCAUAGAGGGUGAAAUGUUUUAUAAGAUUCAAGAGUAUAUGCCCCACUAAUAGAAUUUCGAAAUAAGAUAUAUAAGAUAUAUGUAUUAGAUCUGCCAGGCGAGUAGGAGCGGGAUCGGGGUUGUUGGCGAUGAGAAUGAAUCAGUGCUUUGACUAUAAUUGAAGUUGACCAUGGCUUUCCCCUAUGGCAAAUUCUUAUGUUCCUGCCUCGGAUCCGCCAAGCUACUUAGACAGAGUGGCUAAAGGGUUAGUGGCUAAAGAGAGAGUUUGAUCCGCUGGACUGGAUCAAGGUCAUCUGCAGGAUCAAGAAAGAAAAAAGAUGCUUGCUGUGCGAGUUAAGUAAACAAGAGAAGAAUCCGUUCUGGUUUAAUCCUGAGUUUCAUCAGUUAUCCUUUACUUUUUGAAAAAAGAUAGAAUGAAUUUGAUAUUGAUAGGGUUUUCUUCCUUGGACCUCGAACUGGCAAAGUAAUUGAGUGAAAGGCUUUACCGAGGUUACUUAGAAGCCUGUUUUCCCUGCCCUGCCCUCUUGCCAAGUGAAGUGGGUGGUGGUGCUCUUAACUAACCUAGUGAUAAAGAUAAGAUGUAAACCUUGAGGGGGGCUAAGCAAGAAGAGGAGUGCUGGGCGUGGACAUGACCCGCAUACAAUUUACCAUUAAAGUGAAUACGCUCGUGAGAGAUCAAUUGGUGCUGAUCCAACACCUUAGAAGCAACCACAUAGAUCUUAAGAUUAUCGGACACUUUGAUAUAACCAGAAUCACCCUGCAAAAGAGAAUUAGCCAAAAGAUGGGCAGCAUUUUGAUGAUCUGCGGGGCUUUUAGAAGAAUGUAAUCUGACUUUAUUAUAUCAAAUCUUCAGGAUAAAGUUCGGAAGGAAAGAGGUUGAUCUUCGCCUUGAAAACAUCCACUUUUCAUUCAACUAGGAGGUUGGUUCAGAGCACAGGGACAGGGUUGGCUAUCUCUUGCUCGACUUUCUUUCUUUAGAAAUAAUAAUAAUCAAAAGACAGAUGAAACUACUCUACUAUUUGUUGGGGCUGUAAACCUGGACUCGUUUGCAUCAGACAAGCCAACUACGUAAGGCCAAGCCGGCAAGCUACUUAUAAUGGCCAAGCUACGGGCCAAGCAACGACUAGACAAGUGUUCAUGGUGUCAGGAGCAGUUUACCGGUAGCAGACUUUAGCCCGAGAUACCUGAUACCUGCCCAUCAUGCUUUCGCCCGAGAUACCCGCGAGAGUUGCUUAGGGAAGUUCCAAGACAUACGAGUACAGAUAAGACAGGCUUUGUGUGUUUUUGAGUGCUAGUGUUCGGACAGCUUUCCUGGCACCUACCGAUACGCCUGGCACCCGAAGGCAUAGAGAGUCUUGAACAAAUGAAUAUAUAUUAAUGAGCUAUGAGCUAGUCCUGUAUUUGCUAGCUGGAGUUUCCUUUCCUCGCACCCAAGUCGACAAGUUAAGUUGGGGUAAGAGAAGAAGCGGUGGCUUUACUUUAGUUCUCGUAUAUGUAAGCAGUUAGCGGGUCAAUCUUGCUUAUUAGUGAAAGUCUCCUAUUAGUAAGGAUGGCUGCUGGUGACAAAACUUCUUUCGUCCAUCUCCGCACUACAUAUCGGAAAAGCAUUGGCAUUAUUAUCUUAUUGUUGAGCUCCGGCACCAGAUGCUACCUAAGAAUGAUUUUCUCACAUAGGCUUUUGUACUGAUCAGCUUGGUUGAGUUACUAUUGGCUAAGGAAAAACCUCGUUACCUAGAUCGGAAUGUGUAAUUGGCUCUACGCAGCUCCCCGCUUCCUUACUUCGACCUCCGUCCCAUAACCGAUAGAAGAGAUAGGAUUUCGUAGAUGAAUUCGCUUUCAAACAGGUUGUCUUAAAGGAUAGGAGGAACUCUUUCACUUAUUUGUAUGGGGCUUAAAUGCCUUAGCCAAAGUCAACUACUCCUUUAUAAGUUAACUAGACUCCAAUUUGCUUUGCCCAUUCUUUAUCGAUUGAAGGCAGAAGAAGAGAACUCCAACCUGAGGGAUAAGAGAAACCAGAGGGAUAAGAGAAAAGAAAAGAGUACCACCAAUAGGUAUGAACUACUAGUAAACAUAUACUAAAGAGACUUUGCUCACCAAUGGAACUAGAUCGCUUUCCUAUCUAUUAAUUCGAACUUGACACUUUCUUUGGGUUAUCUGCGCUUCACUUUUCCAUGUAUUUCUCCUCGGGCUUUCGAUAGGGUAUGGAUUAAUGUGGUCUGUCUAUGGGCGGUCCCCUGAAAUGGGUAUUCCCACGCUGUCCAUUAUGAUAGAGUGGAAAGAGAAACACCAAUUCCCAUCUUGGUGCUCACACUACAGGCCAACUUGUCGGGAUGGCAGGAAAGACAGAAAGGAAAAGACAGAAAUCCAAAUCACCUAAUUACUGAUGUCUUCUGCAAGACUUGGCAAUUCUUCCGCUUUAGAUCAGAGCCUCAUCAGGUUAAUUACUAGGAAAAAAGAACGAAGAGAGAGAUCACGUGGUUCGGAUGAAGCAAAAUAGAGACACAGCCCUUACGGCUAUAUACUCAAACCUGACACCAUUCCAGGGAGAUUGAUAUUUACACUAAAACGAACGAGCCGAGCUCCCCACACAUUUAGGGCCCCAAUCAAUGGAUUAUGGAGAAAAUGAAUAUACUGUAAAAGAAGAAAAGAGCCAAGCCUUAGUGCCCGAAGAUAUAGGAUACAUGAUUAGGGAAGCCGCAGAUGUUUUAAAGCAUUCUUUGUCAAAAGAUAGACAUGAGAUGAGUUUGCGCUUCCUAUACACACACUUGCAUAUGAGAAUUGUACUUUCUUCAUUCAUUCUGCUCGUGAAGAAAUGGUAACCUCAGCUCUAUUGCUAAAGUUUUCCCCAGCUGCCCCUCAUAAUCCAUUAAUAUAAGAAAGAAUAUAUUGGUUUAAUACACACAGUAACAAAUCUAAAGAAAUCAGUGGUUUAGGAGCGUUAUCAAGAUUCCCAUUUCUGAGUUUAGACGAAUAAGUAACCCGACUUUCAAAUGUGAAAGAGUCUUGCCAUGUCAAUAAAUAUCUCAGGCAAUGGCCCUGCUUCAUCUCUUACUUGUUGAUAAAGCUUAAUAUAAAUAGGGGAAUCCUGCUUCCUUCCAUUUCUUCUUCCCCGAGAUACCGCACCGCUUCUGAUUGGCUUGUUAACCCAGCUUCCCUUUAGCCUAGUGAAACUCAUUAAUGGAAAUAUUACUCUCUAUCUUGCAUUAACCGAUAAGUAAGGCUAAGAUAUCAGAAAGAAACAAGCAAAGCAAAGAAUGUUUAUUAUAGGAGUAGCGCAAAACUAAUUGAAUCAGAGGGUUGAGCGGGUAAGAGAAGAACAGCUCCUAACGCUAUAGUAACUCGCAUAUGAAUUAGAGAGGAAGAUAGUAAUUACACUCAAGACUCCGGCAAGAGUAAUGAAACUCCGGACUCAGAGGCAGAGGCAUUGCUUUCCCUACCCAUCCCAUACUUGUUGAAGUAAGCUGGGCACCCCGCCACGAAACCUAAAGUAAGCUAAAUAAAGGUACCUCCGAAACUCCAAAACAAACGGCUAAGAACUAACAUAAGCCCUUUGGCGACAUAUUCACACCCCUAUAAACUCAGAAGUCAGAAUGGAAUCCUGCACAACAACCAUUUCAUCUGCAUGACAAACAACUAAUAGAAUGGGCUCUGCCUAACACAGCAUUGCUUCCUUGCUUGUGCGAAAGCCGUUGUUGCUUAUUUUCUUGCUUGUUCUAAAGCGCUUGCUAGUUCUGUGCGUGCCUCAAUUCGACCUUCCGCGAGGUGUACUGAUUGCCUUUCUCUUGCUGUUCCAGUUCAGAAGUUAGGAAAGGGAGUUGACGGAUGAUGAGCUCUGUUGAACAUGGUUUCUUCUAGUUCUUGAACCAACCCCUGUUAGCACAAAAGGUCUGUUGACUUAGUCGGUAAGGUNNNNNNNNNNNNNNNNNNNNNNNNNNNNNNNNNNNNNNNNNNNNNNNNNNNNNNNNNNNNNNNNNNNNNNNNNNNNNNNNNNNNNNNNNNNNNNNNNNNNNNNNNNNNNNNNNNNNNNNNNNNNNNNNNNNNNNNNNNNNNNNNNNNNNNNNNNNNNNNNNNNNNNUCUUUGGUUUCAUUCCCUUACUUGUUCAACUUGAAACUGAUGCUUGGGGCUAAUAAUAGAAUGCAGCUGCCAGCUCUGAGACGGAAAGUGCCAAUAACAGAAAAGAGGGAAGAAAACGACUACCUAGGAGAAUGGAACGGGGAAUAAAGAAUACAGAUAUGAUACGGCGCACCAACCUACUAUGUUAGAAAACCUCCGCCUCGAUAAGAGUUCCACUGCUGACUCUAAUACUGAAACAAGGAAAUAUGGUCACUAUCAGAUUGAAACUACCGCUCCCAACUCUAUAGCUCCCGUAUCUCAGGUAAAUCCAAUUCUUAUGAUCCUUGCUUUCAUUCCGUAGUUCACCUAUGAUCCUUACUUAUUAGCUUGAGUCUACCUCUACUCUAUCUCGGUCUGAUAACCUUGUAGAACCAAUCUGACUUACGGACAUCCUCCUCUGCUAACAAGCCUUACCCAACUAACAGGCAAUUCCACUCAUAAGCCUUACAAUGGAAAUAUAAGCCUAAUAAUGGAAAUCAAGAAUGGAAGGUGGCAAAGAGGGAGUUGGAAAUAAAGACGGAAUUGUCGCACCACAAACUAACGACUUAAACAGUGAACUAAUAGAAUGGAACUACUGCUAAUAAGAAUCCAAAUCCGAAAUCAGACUAAAGCUAGGAACUCGGAAGUAGACGACUCACUCUAAGACUUGAAUACUGCCCCCCUAACGCUGGGCCUGACACUACUUCUUUGAAUUCAGAGUUGGCUCCUUCCCUGAAAUUACUCAUUACAAAGAUGAAACUCAGGGCUCUCACUCUGAAACUACUGCCAAUAAGACUGUGACUGCUAGCUAUAAGAGUUGGAACUACUACUGGAAAGAAUGAAACGCAGAACUCAGACUGAUGCUAAAACCUAGGAAUUUGAGAAGUUAGAAAGGGCAGGUAAACAGCAAGUAUAAAGUAUGGCACAAGUGACUAGGGGUGCUAAAGGAAAAUCAAGGUCCGGGUUCCGUUUAAGUUUCAAGAGAGCCGGAACCAGCAAGCGCUAAGUCCGCAACAACAACAAGUGGUUCAGGUAAGGAAGCAGGAUCGGGAUCAGGAUCUGAAGCUGUGGAAUAGCAAGGUUAAGUAGAGGUCGAGUAUCCUCUCAGCGAAAUUCCUUUGAUAACAGAGUUUUGUUAAGUGGAGUAUCAUCUUCCAAAGAAAGGUAUGCUGUGCUAGUAAAGUAAACUCGAGAAGAGACUAAGAGAGAGUCAGAAUAAGAACAAGGGCGAGGCAUUCAAUAACCUAGUAAUCAAUAAGAUAGGUAGGCAGGCAAGGUAACCAGUAUGAGUAAGUAAGGGUGAACGGGAUAUAAGAUCUGUAUUUGCAAGAGGAGAGGUCUGAAAUGGUACUUUCCCUAAUGGAUUUGAAAGAUCAUAAGCCGGACCAGAGGCAGUUCGAGGCGACGAAAGUCGACCAGGGGGUUAUUGGCGGAUGGGGAUCAGUUAGCUUACUUUCGGUUUCCGGGUGCCUAUAUCCAGCUGACUUUCGGGUUCUUUGCGAGUGUGAAGCAUCUAUUGACUUUGUUGUAUACUUUGACUGAGCGUAAGCGGACCCUACAUCUACAGUAUUAUUCUUUCAUUCCCGCAGACCCUUAGUUGCAAGAGAAGGAUAAAGUCAAUCCAACCUUUCUCACCGGUCGCUAACGGAGUCAUUUCUGCAUUAGCUUAUUGGAGUUGUCGCAGUUAGAGCUUGCAGUAAGCAGUGUUAUGUUACUUGAUUCAAUACUUUAGUCAAUAAGUGAGUAAGGAAGAACAAGUAAACAAGUAGUAGUGUUUGGUUAUUCAUUGAUAUCCCAUAUGCAAGAUAUAUUAUUUGGAGUAUUGGCAACGGAACCAUCAAGAGGACCGCUCAAACGCAUCUGUCCUGGGCAAGCUACGACUACAAAGGCUAAGAGAGGAGACAAGCCGACCAAGCUACAUAGUAAGUAGACAAAGGAAGACAAGUCACUACUAAAGACGCAACUCUGGAUAAGGAGUGUUAGGCCGAGUCCUUUUCACAAUUCCUGUGUUGUGUUGGCUUGAUUGAAUGGGAACGGUCUAAAACUGUCCCAAGCUGGCGCCCAAUGCUUCUAAGCUAUCUUAGUAAAUACUGAGUUCCAUUCAUAGACCUAAUAAGUUGUAAUUGCAGACCACCAACAUCUUAUCUGGCUUCUUAUCCUGUUUCUAAGACUUUUGACUUACUGCCUUGCCUCUCCUUUACCUUUCAGUGAGGAAUUCCUUAUCUUGCCCGAACUCUAGUUUCAGAACAGCUUGCUGCUGACUGACUUUCUACUUAAGACGGAACCGCACCGCUACAUAAUUAGGACUUUGUAAUAACUCUACGGAGACUUGUUGAACCGACCACUGUCUCAAUACAGGCAUGACUCUCUAGUACUCACUCGUCUUUUCUUUCGUCAAGAAUUGCAGGCUUUGAAAGAAUACUAUGCUUGAAUUUCCAUGUUAAUCAAGGCACUGGCUUGCCCCUUCUCCAACAUACGGAGUCUACGGAAGAUCCAAAUCUAUAUAUGCCUACACAUCUCUUUUGAGUUUUCUCUUUGGAUUUCAUUCUCUCAAGAAUAAGGAAAGCUACAACAGCAGGGGACACAGCGCGUAAUAAAUGACAAGACUCACUUCCUUCUUUGGGAUCUGGAGAUGCUGGGAAUACUUUCAUUAGCAUAAUUAGCAGUCCCCGCGCUUAUGAAUGGUCCUUAACUCUGGAAUCUUAGGGCGCUUUUUCGCUUCAAUGGAGAAAUCAAGAUGGAAUCGUACUAGUGGUUCCCAUAUCUAUCUUCAAGUGCUCUAUCAGAGCUUACCAUAUCUAUCUUCAAGUGCUCUAUCAGAGCUUACUUCCAAAAUAGAACGAAAGAAGAUGACUUCGAUGACACGCACUGUCGCCUAUAAUCCAAGUGCAAAGUAGUGUUUCGGCUAUUCUAGAGUUUCUGUAAGGAACGAUUCCCUCUAAAGACAGAUUCCAUUCUCUUCCUCAUCAUGCCCAACCUGAAUGGAAUGCCAUGCCUAAGCGCCUCCUCUUAUUAAGUUCUAUUGAGUAUUUUGCACUCCUUUUUGCUUGCUUGUCCAGUCGACAUCCAACGCUUUACUCGAAAUGAGCAAUUGUUCUCUUUUCUCAUGUUAGCAAUGUACAGCGGUCAAAUAUGGUUUUUUUGUUUCUCGAGACCUUUGACUUUCUUUCAUGAUGUGGGCAAUUCCAGUUUACUUAGUUCUAUACAUGUGGGGAGUUAGAAUCAAUUCCAGUUUCCCUUAGUUCUAUACAUGUGGGGAGUUAGAAUCAAAAGAAAUCUCAGUUCGACUUUCAUCAUAUAGAAAUAGACAAUUGAAUAUUAAAUGCGAAGGUACAAAGCGCAGGUCCUAAAGUGAAAGAGUUCGGGUGCUUUAGAAGGCAAGGCCCCGGUUCUACAACUAGAGUUAGAAAGUGAGCAGUAGAAUAGACUCAAGAAUCACCACCAGGAGAAAGGGAUCUGAGGCAACAGAAUUACCAGUCACAGUUCUAGUUUCAUCAACGAGAUCAUCUGCAGUAAGAGAAUCCGCGGGACAGAAAUCCGUGUAAAAGUAAGCAACAACAAUUGGUUUUGAAUAAGUAUCAUCCUUUACAGAAGCCGAAGAUCAUACCUACGUAGACUAUGCGGUGUGUGAAGCAUCUCUUGACUUUGAUUCUGAUUUGGAUCCCCUGGACUUUAACUCAGUAGCAGUAGUGCUUGACUUUCAUCGUUUUUCAGAAGAAGAGAAAAGGUGUAGCGGUGAAGCAUCUCUUGACUUGAACUCUAUAGCAGUAGUGCUUGUCUUUCCCGACUUGUAGUUAAGGGUAGUGAGUUUUCAAUUGAAGUCGACGAGAUCAGAUUCCAUUGGGUAUCCGAAAAAUGGACUUGUUUGUUCAGUGCUCAAGUAAGCAGCAGUCAGAGUUGAGUUCGCUAAUAGGAAGGGAGUUGAAAUUCCUUAGAGUUCGGGUGAACGGGAAAGCAAAAGAAAGUCAACAGUGAGUUUUGAGUAUUGCAUAGCCAUAGGUGAUUAGAUAGGUGAUUGAUUGCCUUGACUUGGAUUAUGUCCUUUAUUCCGCGCCCAGCCCUAUCACUUGGCUUAAACAGGGGGUUACAGCAAACUACACUUGUGAACGAACGAUUGGCAAACAGGAAUGGACUGUUCGACACUUGACUCCCUUCUAUACCAACCAUGUACUAAAUAGAAAUAUGAAAUGAAACAAGCAUCGCUAACACACUUAUUGGAAUUCAAGCCAACAACUCUCAAUCAGGAAGUGAGAAAAAGUUGACUCCAUUAGAGAUUAGCGCAAUGGUAUAUAUAAGAGGAAUAUGACCUUCCCCCGAGAGGAAUAUGACCUUCCCCCGUAUCUAUACUCAAUGAGCUUAUGGAUACUCUGGACAGGAUUCACUUACCACAGAACUGCUUACCACAAAGCUGUUAAUGGUACUGCCGUAUCUUAAUCAUAAGGUACGCCGCAUAUAUAAAGAUCUAGCUUAUGCUUGAGUAAAAGCGCACUACAUCUUCUGUUGCUCGUUAGCCCGGAGUCCUGCUCCCAUGAAGGAGGACUUAGAUCCAUUCUUUCUCAAAACUCUAACAAACUACAGUAGAGCUGACUUUAGCGCUGACUUUAGCACUGUUCCUUGAUACCGCGGGCUACCCUCACUCCCUUAACAGACAAAGGACAAUCAGGCCAUUCACUUACUGCAACGUUGCCUUACCUCUUUCGGAGACUUGUUUUCAUUGUUUUAUUUCUCUAUUAACUGACAACUCUAUUAGCGGAAGUCAAUUCAUUCAUUUCCUCAUUAUUAUCGAGUCUAUCAGAUUGCUCCAACGCAGAAGGCAGGAACUACAAUAACUCCAGUAGAACAAGUCAAAGCUGCUCACUUACCCUAACGCUCAAGUAAUUAAUGAAUUUCUGACUAAUGGGCAUCUCACUCAUAUCUUAUAGGAAUAGUUUGAAUAGUCGUAAUGGAGCAGUCAAAAACGGAAUUCCGAAAAUGGAUUGUGGUCAGGUCAACUCGUAUUGCAACAUUCCACUCAGUUAGCGCAGACGAAAAUGGAACUUCUACUGAUGCGCUUGCUUUAGCAGUUCUCUUGCGGAUUCCGUUACUUAUUCUCUACCACUAGGGUCAGGUUGCUUUAUCAGUGUAGUUUGAGGUGAGGCAAAGUAUGAGUCAUAAGGAGUCAUAAGCGAGUCCCGUUAGUUUUUAUGGGCAAGCGUAUCUUCUCUGAUCUUCAGCGCUUAAAUCCAUUCCUGACGCAGAACUCGAUAACGGGAGCUUCAUAAGGAAAGACAAAUUGUAGAACCCUUCUUAUACAUAAAGCCAAUAUAACUCAACUCACUAAACAAAAAGGCUAUCUAAACAAGCCCUGCCCUAACGUGAGUCUUUACAGGGGUGUGCCGCUAUUCAUUCCUAAUGCAAGCCUCCGGGGUUUGGUGCCGAUAUUAAUUCUUCAUGCAAGCCUCAGUACGUUAAUAGUGUUUCAGUUUGUUUACGAAAAUGAUAGUUUCCGUUUGUUUACGAAAAUGAGAAUCAAAGGAACGCUUAAUCUUUCGCAAGCCCUUGUGCUACGGGCUGUAAGUGGUAGAGUUCGCCGUUUGCGCUCACAUUCGAUUCUUGGAAAUAGGGAUAGCGGCGCCUCAACUCGUUCUCUGAAAGUUGACUAGCUAUGAGUGAGAAAAGUAAGGAGUAAAGAGUAAGUUGACUCUAUUAUUGACUUUGUGCUUGAACUUAUCUUGGUGGACAGAGAGGUGCGCUUACGGGAGUGCCUGAAGUUGCGCGUUAGAGAGUUCCUAGCCCCGUAGUUGCUUAUUCUGUGACUCUUGAAAUGACUUACUUUCCCUUACUUUGACUUUUCUCUAUAAGGCGUUACUCUGUUUGUUAUAUUACUUACUUGCACUUACGCUUAUAGUAUUCGGGACACUUACGCUUAAGGGAGUUUCGUGGUGCCUCAAUGGAAGGGUUAGGUGAGUUUUUAAGCAAUAGUAGUUAUAUGUCAGCUCUUAUGGAAAUAGUGAGUGAUAUUUUCUUCUUGGAUUACUUAACAAGUGAGACUUUCUUCUUGGAUUACUUCAACUCGCCCUACUGUAGCAUGGUGCCAGAGGUAGUGUCCAGUAGAGUGCUUUUCAUAACUCUUCUUUUUCACCAACCUAUAAUUAAUAAGGUGCAUAUUAUUUCAUCAAUUACAUUAUAUGCAAGAGAUAUUAAACAAGCAAGUGUUGUGAACAAGCCAGGGAACAAGCUAGGUGCAAGAAUUCAGUACUCGAGUAAUAGCCAUGAGCAUGUGUUCUGUACUUGAGUAAUAGCAUAGCCAUGAGCAAGUGUUCUGUACUUGAGUAAUAGCCAUGAGCAAGUGCAUGAGGGAAAGAAAGUCAAAGUCAACAAUAAAGAAAUCCACCGUAUUAAUCGGUGCCUCCGCCUCUGUCCUAUCUAUAGUUUAGGGUUCCGCUGUCGUGUCGAUAUCAUCUAUUUGAGAACUAGCAGCAACCCAACAAGCAAUGGUCACUAAGUGCGAAAGAACUAACUAACGCAAAAACAAAGAACUCGGUAGAGUGGAAAUCGUUAGAAACUGAAGCGCUAACGCGAGCAGAAUCCCUUUGCUUAAAGAAUCGAAUGUAAAUGGAUCUUUCUUUCAUCUUUGUUGUAGUUCAUUGUAUGAUAGGUUAUUUUGUCAAGGGCUCUUGUCGUCGUCAAUUAUGUCUUCUGAAUUCAAGUGACUGAUAAAGGUCCGGACAGGGGAUUUCAUGGGAUUGGGGGGAAAAUCGACCCUCAGGCCUUGCCUUGGAGCGGAGUUGGCUGCAAAAAACAGGAAUAUAACUCAUACUAAUGCAUUAAGUAGCUAGCUCGCUAACGCCACGAAUACCAAAUAAAGGACUUGAUUGCUAGUAAAGAAAUGAUAUAGUGGCCAAGGGUGAAAUAAGAAAGUCGCUAACGCUAAUCUCUGUAAAUAAGAAAGUCGCUAACUGUGCCUAUUGCUAGAGGUGGAUUAAGGUGCUGAUAUUCAUUCUAUUACGUAGUGGACCUAUAUGAGAUGGUAGCAUCGGAUAGUGCUUUGAAGCGGGAAGUCGCGGGGUCGCCAGGCCCAGUAGGCAGAGCUCAGCUCACCACUCAAAUCGUGUAUUUCUUACGCCGCUUCGCUUAAAUCAGUUGAGUUCGGUUGCUAAUACCCUGUUCUGCUUGAAAGAGCGGGCCUUUGAAUGUCAUUUCGUAGGGCUCUAUAAUGAGAGAAGCUCCUAUCUGUCUGUUGGUCCCUAUUGCGGUUGUCAAUCAAUAACGUAUCGAGAGGGGGUAGGGUGCCAAUAUUUGUAGUAGUAGUGGACCUAUAUGAGAUAGUAUCGGGCUUUGAAAGAGCGGGAAGUAUAGAAGAAAAGUUAGGCAUCAGUGCGUAUAGAUCGAUCCCUAUUGCUAUUGUACAGGGGAAAGUCAAUCCGCUCUUUUAUAUCAGAGGUUGUUCUUUCUAUUCAUUCGGUAGAGGCAGCUGUUAGGUACCAGUUUUCUAUGUGAAUAAGAUGAUUUGGCCGAGCAAGAAAAAGAAAAGAAACCAGUUGCCACCUACAUCCUCACGAGCAAGCGCGUCGUAACUAGGAAAGUCGAUAACCGACCGUGCAUUGCUAUUGCCCACUACACGGUUUGGAAAGAAGAGACUAUAGAGAAAAGCUUUACCUAUAUAUCAGAAAGGUUAUUAAGUAAAUUCAUGCCCCUAACCCUUCUAUUCGUAGUGGCUCAUAUGAUUAGUUGACUUAUAAAGCUGCGAGUAUUGAGUAAGAUUACAAAGUUCUAUAGAAGUAACAAGCUCUAAAAUAUUCCAUUAAGAAAUGAUACUCUCAAAAGGAACCCAUACCCUUAACGACAAUUCUAAGUAAAGUAGAAAGUCUCCUGUAAGGUAGAAUGAAGCAAACGAGCUUAGGCGAGCACUCCCAUUCUAAGUAAAGUAGAAAGUCUCCUGUAAGGUAGAAUGAAGCAAACGAGCUUCUUAGGCGAGCACUCACAAAUGAAAUGAAUAUAAGCGCACAUAUGAUAACAUAAAGAAAUUGUUAUAUAGAUGCUAUAAUAUAGUAAGUUAUAUGGAUGCUAUAAUAUAGUAAUGAAUUCCAUAAGGUUAUAUAGAUGCUAUAAUAUAGUAAUGAAUUCCAUAAGCCUGAGAGUUAGCGUUAGCGAGCUCAAUAUACGUUGCUUGUUUAGUCUGAAUGAAGUGUUUUUACUCAUUUUGCUCAGUGGUGCAAGAGAAGAAUAAGGAGUACAGAGAAUCAGAUUGAGCUUUCGGGUGAAAGUAAGCUAUGUCAAUACUUUGAUCUAUACCAACCUAAGUGUUCAACAAUUCCAUUAAGAAAUUCCAGUUAUUGUUGAAUCCUAUACGGAAGAAGUUAUCAAGUAAAGUUAGGAGGCAUAAUCCUGUACUGGUUCUUAUGUCGGUACGAGUGCUUGUAAUAACUUCGCUUAUGUUCUUUCUAGUGGAGUAUGGUUUCUUUCUAGUGGAGUAUGGUUCGCUUGAGUCAGGUAAAGUCUCCAAUUCCAUUCUUGUUGUUGGCAACUCGAAUCUCCGUUCUUUGAAUAGAGGCACCCCUCAAACCUACCAGUAGUAUAAGUGAGCAUCGAACCUUUACUUCGCUACACCGAACCUUGACUUAACUACUUCGCCCCUUACCUUUGCUUUGCUUACCUUCACUGUACCGAACCUGUACCGGCAAAGAUUUCGCCAGUGCUGUGUUCGUCAACAAGAACAGGCAAUUAUCCACGGUACCUUGCUUCAAAGCCAGUACUAUCUCAGCCGUCUUAAUCAAUUCCCUUCAUCUUCCACUUUCACUACAUCUUCGUCGGGAGCUCUUAUUGGGGAUUCCUCGAAAGAACAGGUUAAUGCUUCUUAUCUCGGCGCUGCUUAAACAAUGGUUAAUGCUUCUUAUCUCGGCGCUGCUUAAACAAUAAUGGAAUCUCUCCACUUAUAUAAGCUACAGGUCAACUCGCCUUAUGAGUCUUGUUGCGACUGUUUGAAGCUACCCUGAUUCUUAUUGUGUGAAGUACCCUUAUUCUUAUAGUGCUAAGAUAGGAAUUGCAUCUUUCGAGCGCCAAGGCAAAUUCCAAUAUGAAUGGAACAGAUGUGCCAUAUUAGAGGAAUGUAACAAAAACUCCUUAUGCGUAACGGCUUGCAGAACUCCCUUUAGCCACUGAGUCUUAUCAAGCGACCCGAGUAAAGCAAAAAAACAUUUCCUAUAGUGUGCAGACACUGCUUUUCAUCCAAUAACUCUGUACUUUGAUCAACGAACUUAACAUCAACAAGCUUUUGAGCGCAACGGCCUUUACUUAAUUGCCUUUGAAACUUUACCUUGUAGUGGGCAUUCUCACUUCGAUCCCAUAUACGAUCACUUUUGCACCCGAAAGAGCGCCCGCAUCCUCAUUGGCACUUCACUUUUGGACCACAGACCAGACCAGGCAAGGCAAUUAAGUUCACGGUAGCUUCAUGAGCAAGUAAAGUGUAUUAGGGCUCAUGCAAGCUGGUUUGAGUUAAGAGUAGGAAGUAGGAAAAAGAACCUGAAUAAGAGUAUACUAGGGCAGGGGUUCAUAGAAUCCGUAAUCCAACUUAGAGGUAGAGCCAAGCUACUCCUGUUUUCGGCGGCAGUGAGUGAAAAGCUAGUAAGUCUGGCAAGCCUAACAAACUCGUUGUAGAAGUCCCUUUCUCUAAAGCAAUGAGGGAUUCUCACCAUCAUCCGCAUUAAUAGCAAGCUAGCUUAUUCUCAGGGUUUCGUGCGGGAGAUUUUGGAUUCUUUAGUAGGAAUAGCGAUCCUCCUUCUUUCGUUAGUAGAAAUAGUUCUCCUCCUUCCUUCUUUCUAAGAAUAGAGAGCUAUGUUAGCAAAGAAUAAUUCAUCGUUGGCUGUAUUGCUUUCAUUGCUACGAGGGAAUAAUAAUUCGGUGGGGAUUAACAUAGGGUCAAGGAAUAGUAUAAAGUGGGAAAGCCUCUUCGCGUAAGCCGAGCACGUUACCUUCCUUUAUCACCUCCAAUAAGAUUUGUUACCAGAAGCAAGCAAGACGAGGAAUCGAAGCUUCAAAGCACUUAGAUCAUAAAGUCUACGAGAAACCUAUUUCGUUUGGCCGGGUCUAAGCAUCCGAUGUGCACGACACGAAUCGUCUGAAUCUCUUAAUUGGCUUCUAAACAGCAGUCGUUAGGCUAGGCCGAGAAUUGGAAAAAUACACACCGCCCUCUUUCUUUCUUUUUUGUAUCCUUGGGUCGAGAUCCAAGAACCGAAGUCAUAUCAGUAGUUGGGUCAAGGUUCAAUUCCCCUAUCGUAGUGGGGUCGUAGCGUAGCUCCUAUCUUCCUAUGUGCAAUCUCUUUCUUCACUGAGGCCUGAACUAGGGUAAUCAUUCGAAGAUCCUGGACUAAUAGAACUGCCGGCUAAAGCAAUUGUUUGGUAUAUAGCUCACCCACCAGAUUCUGUGCAGCAAAUCCAUUUGAUACGCCCAUAGGUCGAACUUGUUACGUGUAAUAGUCCGAAUCUCAUACCGGCAUCUUUAUCAGAUUCUUUGGAUUAUGCGCAGGGAGUAGCAUUUCUCAAGCAAAUCGGGAGUUUCGUAAGUCAGCUAUUACAUAUUGCAUAAGUGGAGUCAGCUAUUACACAUUGCAUAAGUGGAGUCAGCUAUUACAUAUUGCAUAAAUCAAUAUUAGGCGAGUUGGUCAUUCAUCCCAGCAGACAUAAAGAGGGCGCUUUCCUAGUGGUCAUUUCUGUCUUUGGUACCAAACCAGGAUAUGAAGUUCUACAUCCCGCCAUUACGAGCAUCAGUCGACGACCACUGGAUGCCUUUCCUCAUAGGGGAUAAGCUUUUUGGUACAUUGUUGUUGACCUUGCCCACCGAUCCAAAUAAUGUCAGAGGAAGCGAACUGGUUGUAGGCUGAGCGGAUUAGCUCGUUAUUCGUCCUCUCUUUAUGUAUAGUUCCGGGCUUUCGCUUCUUGGUCCACUGACUACUUCUCGUUGGUCGGAACCAGCUUCACUUGUUUCUUAUAAGGUUGAACUACUGAAGGAUGACCGCCCCUACUACAAUCAAUAAGAAAAUCCAAAUAUGUAAAUUCUCUUAUUUGUAAGGGAUUGCUCGACUACUUAAGCUCUUUUCUUGAACCUGCCUAUAGACGAAGAAAGGUGGAAAGGGGGUAUAGAACGUAGGCGAAGUUGCUCGUCCGGAUCAUCAAUAGACAAUGGAUGGGGUCCCUCAGGCCUACAAUGCCUUUUGUUGGUAAUUGAUCCUAUUUCAUCAUUUCCACUAGCCAAGAAACCUCUGCAGCAUAUCGAUCUGAAACUCUAACCACUCUAUAAGAGAGUAUUUCUUUGACAGACACGUCAGCUGCUUUAUGUAUAGUAUCAGAGUGAGUCUUUCUUUUACACGUCAGCUGCUUUUAGUGAAGUAGUGUAUCAUCACUUUCUUAGCUAUUGUUGUGUACCAUCCCGACGCUAGCUGAACCUUUCCCAUUGAUCUUAUGCUUCUCUUUUCUUUUAGCUGAACCUUUCCCAUUGAUGUUUCUCUUUUCGAUUAACUGAACCUUACAAUAUCAGUGUAUUCUAUCGGGGGCUCUCAAUAUGAUCUCGGCACACUUAUACCGAGUUGGAAUCUAGAGAACAUCCGGAUGAUGAAGACGAAGUCCUAACCUAAGCCGGAAUGGAAAGAGAGAAUUGCACUGGACAUUCCACGCCUGACUCACUAGCCUCGUUCUUACUACCCUCCCUAUUAGUCUGCUCUUACUUGUUUAGAUUCUAACUAUCCUUACCUCAGAUCUGUAGUCCACUUCUGAUUCUUUGACUCUCGCUUGGCAUUCUUCGACUCCAUAUCCCAAUUCCUUAUUGAAGCCUAUUAGCCUGCCCUUCUUGACUUUCAUUCUGUAUUGGUAGCUUAAGUAUGCUUCUGGAUACAAGGCCACUACUGAACUCAAUGCCUACCGCACCCUAUAUCGAAUAUUGCUUCCCUUGCUUUGAAACUUCAACUAGUGCUAACAAUACUCGAACAAUCAACUAGGGCUUUCAUUACAACUAAUAGGAGCUGAGUUAGCUACUGAAAACAAGGGUCGAUGUAAUUGAGCUACCAGAAAGAAUCAAAACAUAUGACCAAUCAGAAUGUAACACUUCUGGACUAAAGAAGAAACAAGGGCGUAGAAGAAUGGAACUGCCACUUCUAAUACUCUAACUCAAAACAGGUAACUCCACUGGUACCAAUUAGACUGGAACUUACUACUAUCGGAAUGGGAACUACAUCUGAAUUCACUCCCUGGGGAGUCAAUCUUACUCACCGGAAUACAGCACAAGCCUUACUUCAUAGCUUCCAAGCCUUACUUUGAACCUGAAAACUGUUACUCCCCGGUUAAAGUCUGUCCCCUAUUCCCAAGAAAUAUGAAUUGAACCUAUAGGGCUUAUCGACUCCUGACUUAGGGAAUUGAACUAUCAAAUAGGAAUAAGGAGCCAGGCAACUUCGGACAGCUAUCGGAAGAAACCUAAAACGGAUUAGAAGAAAAUCACUGUUAACAGGGCCAUAGCUAAAAAGUGGUAAUCCAGCUCACAAAAGUAAGAAUAUGCUGACUGCCAACAAUACUGGAACUUAUAACUAGGACUUCCCUUACUAACUGGCAAUCCAAAGACCACUUCUUAGACUCGGCUACUGACCCACAUAAUGGAACUAGUGACAAUCAAAUCCGGCUUGUGGCUACAGCUUUGAAUUCUCUAACCACUGAUCCGGGGAUCCUUACUUAUUCGUUUCGAACUACCUCUCUUUGCUGUUAGCUUGUCCCUCUUUUCCUUUUAUUCUCGCUGCUAGCUCUUAAAUGCCUAUGCGCUUACUUAUAGGCUGACUUUAGUGUCUCUUAGGUUGACUUUCCUGUCUAUAAGGCUUCCUAAUAGAAGUCAAAUCAAUCAAUAAGAAAAUCCAUCAAGAAAAUAUUGAGUGAAAUUAGAACUUGAAAGCGGAAACUCCCCUCUUGCACUCUGGCACCCCAGCCUAGCAUUCCUAUAUACUUUAUUACUAAAAUGUCUGUUAUAUAGUUGAGUUUACUAGCAUAGUAGUCCAAACUGAAACCCCUUCCAAGCAAACUGCCUCUCUCGCCCUCCACACUGAAGCCCCUCCCCGCUAUCUAAGUGCCUUUUUCCUGUCUUGAAGUGUUCUCCGUGCUAGUUUUGGAGUCUGUCUGCCAGUAUAUGUAUCUGUCUCUGCUCUUUCUUUUGCUGCCCAAGGCGCCAAUGCUUUUUAGGCUGCUUUUUCUUAUAGAUAGAUAUAUACCGCCUACCUCUAUAAGUAAUAAGAAGCGACACUUUGUUUUCACGAACAGUAGCUCGGGCCCCAAGACAAAGCAAAGGGUGGAAAGUCGCUCCUCUUCUUUUGCCAAGGCUAAAGUAAAGAAAUAAGCUUGUUCUAUAUCUAUAACAAUCCUACGAUUGGCUCGCUCUUAUUAGUAUUAUUGAACCUUACUAUUAGCUCUGUACUUAUUGAAUGAAUUCGAAAAAUGAGUUUAUGGAUAGUGAGAUCAAAGAAGAACCGAAGACAUACAAGAGUACUUACUUCUGUAAGCGAAUCCCAGCUAACGUAAGCAUCUUUCCAGUAGUGCGCCCUGCUAGCAAACAUAGUAAAGCAUUAACAACUAUUACAAUAAUAAGGGAGAGUAUUCUGUCAAGAGAGAAACAUAGACCUAAGAGUAAUGACAAAUUCAUAUUCGUUUGCAAAGCAGUGGUUUUACAAGCAAGCAAGGUAAGUUGCAAGUACUAAAAGCAAGGGUGCAAAGAGCAACACAGAGAUGGAGGGUAGCCUCAUGAACUGCAGUGCCAGUCUAGUGUGCCCAGGUUCCAUUCUAAUAAAUAGUCGUUCGAUUCUUGGCAGCACUAGCGCUAUUAUUAUUUGUAGUUGCGAUAUUCCUUGUUUUGAGUUUGCAUUGCCUAUCUUCUAUUCUUUCAACCCUUGGGACAUAACGCUUACUUCAAAGCCAAUGCCCCUGCCUUACAUCCUGACUAUAUCUUCUCGGCCGGCCUCUCCUUUAUCUAAGGCUUAGCAUCCGAACUCUAUGUCCCCGCCCCUUGCUUGAAUUCUAUAGUUGCUUAUUGACUUUCGAGCAUAGGACAUAAGAAUAGAGAGGUGUAGAUCAACUCUAGGGUAGUACCCCAUCCGCUAAGAAAUGAGCUAGUUACUAUUAGGAUUGAACUGUCAAUGACAAGACUUAUAUCGCUACUAACGAGAAAUGAGCUGCUGACUGCACCUUGAACUAAGAGCUGGCUCUUUCACUUUUCUCUACUUAUGAGUUUAGGCGAAGACACUUUGAUUGGGCGAGUAAUAUAUAGUUUGACACUUGCUUUCCGCUUAACCUCAAGCAGAAAUGGAUACGUACUUGGAUACUUUACUUGGUGGACCUGCUUUAGACUCUUCUUCUAUUUAUUCCCUUGCUCUAAUUGAAUCUCUCUCGACUACUACUGGAAUGGAAUAUCUCUCUGACUUACCCAGACUACCAAGUUGUUAUAUAACCCCAUAUCCAAAAAACUGGAAUUGUAAUACGCAUUGUCAUAAGCAGUAGCUUGUUCCCUUAUCUUGUUCUCUUGUACUACUUGACCCAACGGAGCUUCCCUUUUGAACAGAAAGAACCACUUGCUCCGACAGGACAAUCAGUAAGCCAACGCACAAGCACUUCUGGAGCACUACUUCUUGCUGCUUCCUUUUUCACGGCCGGUUCUCUCGUCGACCUUUUGACUUGAGUUCUUUCCCGCAACAACUAAAAGAUGAAACUGUUCCUGCUCCACUGAAGGAACUUAUUUGACUCUUUCUCUUUGGAGCACGAGACCUAACCCCAUUAUUUCUCUUUUUUGGAUUCUCCUUAUGCUGACUGCGAAGUUCUUUAUCACUCUUCAAUUCAACAAAGCCCCGGCGCUAACAACUGAGCUGCACCUCCUUGAUUCUAUAUACGAAUACGAUGAAAGUGGAACAGGACGGAACAUAAAGAGAGAGACUCGUUACCAACUAAGAAACAUUCUACUCAGAAAUAUCCACUAGAAGAAUCGUUUGCUGCUGCGCCAACACCGUAAGUAAGGGUCAGUGAAAUAAAUGUUUUCGUUAAGAACUCGAUAAGAUACUGUAUACGCGAUCAAGAGUAGGAGUAAUAGAGAAAUAAAGAGCAUAGGAAUGAGAGACAUCGUAGUCAGAAUAUAGUCGUUAGCGUAGGCAGCCUCAAGGUGGAGGAAGUUAGUUUGAAUGACAAGGUAGCCUGUUUGCCAGCAGCUCUAUUUUAGAAGGCAGCAGUCGAUUCUUUUUUCACAAGCAAGUAAGGCUCCGGAUCGUUAGUCAUAGAAUAGGAAAAGGGGAUUUCAGGCUUCAAAGCGGCUGUGACAGCAUUGGGAGCAGUAGUAAGGUUCUCGGUAGCACUAGUUUUCGUUUUCUAUAUUCCAGGGGGGAGUCAGGAGUUCCACUUGUCUAGUAUACGCUUGUUGGCUCGCGUUAGCUAGUUUUGAGUUUCUAUUAGUAUGAAAGCAGUCAGUCAGCCAGCUGUUUUGUGUUGUAAUAGCAGUAAGAAGUAAGUCGUUUGGUUACCUGUUGUAAUAGCAGUAAGCAGUAAGGUUAAUAAUAAAUGACAUAAUAGAUAUAGAGUCGAGAUAGAUAUAAAUGUAUUACAAUGAAAUAAUAGUGGUUGACUGAAAAACUCACAUUAGCACAAGGAAGGGCGACUACAAAUAAGAAAUGAAUUACUCUCAGGGCUAUCUCUUUAUAAGCUAUUAAUGCAUUUGAAGGCCUGUUUCUAAGUAGAAAUGAUGGAUAGAUAUGACAUAAUAUGAGUUGACCAUGGCUUAAACAACGCAAAAAAGAAGUAUGCUCUUUCUUUCCUUUGCCCAGCACCUUGAUUAUGGCCUUAGUUCAGCGCUAAGCUGCUAUUUCUUGAACUUGGCUUGCUCCUGUAGCUGUAGCUCGCAGUAGUUCUUUGUGUUGCGGUAGAGUUCGUUCUAUAAUCCAAUCCCUAGUGCUAACAUGUGCGUUAGCUAGUUUUUGAAGUUAUCAGUGUUUAGUUUAGUGACUUUUUUCUUUGAAUAGCUUUCUUUAUAUUAAUUAUUGAUUAUUAUUCUUAUCUUCAAUUCCAUUCCACUCGCUUGUUGAGUUCAAAUGAUUUAAUAUCAAUGAAUAGUGAAGCCUCGGGAAAGCAUUACUAUUAGGAUAAGUGAACAGAGGAAUGAAUAGAAGAACACGGAAUACCUCAUUUCAGAAUCAAUAAGUAAAUGAAUAAAUACGAAAACCUAUGCUAACUAAACUCGAACUACAGGCAACCAGAAACUCAUUACUGCUUAUCAUAAUAGGGCUACUGCCUAACAGGCUUGCACAGGUGCUUUUAAUGCUGUAUCUUAUAGUAAAGAAGGAAACAGUGCCUAGCGAACCUAGCUCCUAUUCCUAAUAACCCGUCAAUUAGUCUGCGCUUACUUUCUCCUAUCCUGUCCUGCCUUGCUUUCACUCUGAUAUCGUUACUAACAAGAAUCAAACUAUUAAGAACAGGAAUUGAACUCGUUACAGGGAAUUCAAUAGUAACCCCACAAUAUUGAACUAUACUACUCAGAGGACCUAAACAAAGAAGCUAGUCUGCCUUUACUGGGGUGUAACUCAGCCCGUCUUUCCAGUCUCCCGUUGCUUUCUUUUAGCCUUGCCUUUCACUCAUAUACUCCUAGACCUUAUUAGCAAACUCAACAGUAUGAUGUAGGCGCACAGGGAGAUAUAAAAGAACUACUGCUAACAAGGCUUUCACCCCGCUCUGUCAUUGCUGCGAGCCUGACUGUGUGCCCACAGAAUUGCCUUUAGUAGUCCAAGAAUGAAGUGAGUACCUACUUUGUUCCGAGUGCUUGUGUAAGCCUCCCUCUUUUGGGUAUCUCCCUAACGAUACUAUUUUCUUAUGUUGUGGGCCUUUAGGGUAUCUCACAAAGCUAGGACGGAGUGCAACUCAACAGUAAAGUAAACACAACACCCUAAAUCUCUUUUUUGCUAGAGGAAUAGAAGGUCAAGAUAGACGACUUUUCAAUUCUACCAAGGGUUUUCAAAGGUUAUCGAGAUUAUAAAGCGUCCAGACGUGUAAGAAUGAAAGUUUGUAGUACGGGGCAAGACAAAAGCUCUUAAGUCAGAACUCGACUAGUGCUUUUAAGACUCUCAUCUGUAAUAAGGAAAUAAACUACCCCUGGCAUCCUUGCUUCUUAGGUGGACUCUGCCCCUGCUCUACUGAUAUCAAACCUUGCUCCACUAGCUCUCAUCCUUACUACCUUUGUUUGAACUCUAGAACUAGCACAUCUCACAAUGAACCAAGCAAAUGGGAAUUGAACUGCUACGGCGAAUACUUUCACUGCCGCUUACAAGAGACCCCGCUCCGAUCUUCAAUCUUGAUUUCCCUUAUCGAAUUCCUUAACAGCUUACCUCUAUUCCUGUUCUCUUAUUGAAGUAUCCACUACUGCUGAUAAUUCCCUAGUUGGAGUUAGGGUCUGCUGGUACUUACUUUAAGUCCAACGCUCCCGAUCUCAAUUCCCUAUCUAUUGCUAUCGAUUCCAACUUCAAAGACUUUAUCUCAGUCAAUACCUUUGACCUAUAUUAGUAUGAGAAUACUGCCUAUUGGUCUUACUCCUUGGGCACUUCAACUGUGUAUUUCACCUAUUUGGCUUACUUUGAUGUCACUAUCUCUGCUUUCAACCUUACUACUAGGAGCGAGAAUACAAUCGCAACCCACAAUACUUUAGCUAGUGCUGACAGGACUUGAGCUACUACUGAUUAGAAUGAAAUAACAACUCUGGUAGGAAUGAACUCGAAAAAGGGAAUGAAUUUCCUAAGUCCAAGAAAUGAAUCACUGUCAACAAGGUUAUAGCCUAUAACUGGGAAUUCCACUGGUGCCCUCGCAAUUGAACUCAAAAGUCAGGAUAAGGAUACCGGGCUGAGGAUACUCAUACUCAUGAUAAGAGUCAAGAAGAAAACUCAGCAGUCAGAUUUGAAGUAACAAGUAGAGCGUGGACUGCAGGUCUGUCACUUUGGGGUUUGACUCUUGCUAUGCGAGAAACAUAUAUGGG
Molecule: long non-coding RNA, 25806 nt
Filed under: Musa acuminata (dwarf banana)
Lineage: Eukaryota; Viridiplantae; Streptophyta; Magnoliopsida; Zingiberales; Musaceae
Description: long non-coding RNA (MACU_LNC008072)
Source: RNAcentral